GUGCCUAAUACACGCAAGUCGAACGGUCUUUCUAUGGAAGCUUGCUUCCACUGAGAAGAUAGUGGCGAACGGGUGAGUAACACGUGGGUAACCUGCCCAUAAGAGGGGGGAGUAACAUCCGGAAACGGGUGCUAAUACCGCAUAGUUUUCUUGAUCGCAUGAUUGAGAAAGGAAAGACGGCCUUUGUGCUGUCGCUUAUGGAUGGACCCGCGGCGUAUUAGUUAGUUGGUGAGGUAACGGCUCACCAAGACGAUGAUACGUAGCCGACCUGAGAGGGUGAUCGGCCACAUUGGGACUGAGACACGGCCCAAACUCCUACGGGAGGCAGCAGUAGGGAAUCUUCCGCAAUGGACGAAAGUCUGACGGAGCAACGCCGCGUGAGUGAAGAAAGGUUUUCGGAUCGUAAAACUCUGUUGUCAGAGAAGAACAAGUUGGAGAGUAACUGCUCCAGCCUUGACGGUAUCUGACCAGAAAGCCACGGCUAACUACGUGCCAGCAGCCGC
This 503-nucleotide ribosomal RNA is filed under the name uncultured bacterium. RNAcentral's name for it is "bacterial SSU rRNA". It matches the Rfam family "Bacterial small subunit ribosomal RNA", at positions 44 to 518 of the family's 1533-position model. The record is from RNAcentral.